ACCUCCUGGGGCCCGGUGUGGCUGGUGCUCCUCACUCCUGGUGCACAGAAGAUGGAGCUGGCAGCCCAGGACCCGGGAGGUGCCCUCAGCCCCCUGAAGCCUUCCAUCCAGCAGAGAAGUCAGACAACAAAGCGUCAGUCACAUUUUAAGAAACAGUGACAACAACUAUUCAAAAUAGCCAAAAGGUUGAAGGAACCCAGCUGAUGAACGGAUAAAUCCAAUAUGAUGAAUCUACACUAUGGCCACAGGUGACGACGCCAGUGGAACUUGAAAACAAGCUCAGUGAAGGAAGCCCAGGUAUCAAAGCCACAUAUGGCCUGAUCCCAUUUAUAUGAAAUAUCCAUGGUCCUCAAUUUUGGUGGUGGAGCCAGAGGGGGACAUGGAACAAGGUCAGGGCGGGACCACGCCCAUGGAACGUCAGGCAUCUCCUCUUCAUCACGGGUGGAAAAAGCAAAACCAAUCUUUCCGUCAAGGCUCCACUCUCACGACCACCUCUCCAGCCCGCGGCAAACACCUGAGAGGUCACAGUCACCUGGGCCACCUCUUCCAUUCCCACGGGACUGCUGGCUCCUGGCAGGAAGGGGUUGGUCUUGUCUACCUCUGAGUCAUCCCUGCUGCCUUCAUAUAUGAAGCGGCCAAUAAAUAUCUCCGGGUGGGGUGAUAAAUAGCCGAGGGAAGCCCCUUUGGUCCCAGGGCCAGGGUGAGCUCAGGCAGGGGUGGGAGGAGCACUGGGGAGCAGCAAGGCGGGAGCAGCAAGGCAGGUGCAGCAGCAUCACAGUACUGUUAAGGAAACUGAAACUGAGGGCCGGGGGCGGUGGCUCACGCCUAUAAUCCCAACACUUUGGGAGGCCCAGGCAGGUGGAUCACUUGAGGCCAGGAGUACGAGACCAGACUGGCCAACAUGGGGAAACCCUGUCUCUACUAAAAAUACAAAAAUUAGCAGGCAUGGUGGUGCACGCCUGUAAUCUCAGCUACUAGGAAGGCUGAGGCAGGAGAAUCACUUGAACCAGGAAGGCAGAGGUUGCAGUGAGCUGAGAUUGUGCCAUUGCACCAUCUCUAGCCUGGGCAACAGAGCGAGACUCCAUUUCAAAACAAAGAAACAAAAUAAACUGAAACUGAGAGAGGUUAAGGCCCUGGCCCCAGGUCAAACCAGGAGACUGCCUUGGAGUGGUGCUUUCUCUUUUUCCACACUCUGGGAAGGUGUCUCAGAUCUCCAAGUGAAGGAUGCUGGUGGGUAGAACAGAGGAGAUCUGGAGAGUGACUGGUCCCUUGAAAGAUCCUUGCAAACUCUUUGUGGGCAAUGUAUAGAGAAGGCCACAGACACAGCACAGAGACAGACCCCAUUCCGAGAGCCUGCAGAGCCCUUUCCAAUCUGCAGGGCAUACUCACGACCCCAGCAUGUUCCACUCCUGCCCCUACUCUCAGUCUGUUCUUUUCAUCUGGGCCUUCUAAGGAGUGGGUACCCGGUGGCUUUGUUGUUGUUAAAUUGCUGAGCAAACGUUAUAAUGGGUAAGUGUACAGAGAAAGAAGAACGCUAAGCACUGUGCUAGGCAUUUGACAUGCAUUGCCCCACUUGAUCCUCCCAAGAGCCAUUGUCAUCUCUAUUAUGCCAUCAACCUAAAUAACACACAGAGAGCAGCUCUCUAGAAGAAAAAGAUACUUAUUCAUGAAUAGGGCAUCUCAAUGGGAAGACGCGUGCUGUAGUAAACAAUGUACAUGUGAGGGAAGUAAAGCAAGGCAAAGAGAAUUAAAGAGAAAACAAAAUAAAAUGAAAUAAGGAGGAUUAAAUAAUUGUUCUGAAAUGAUUAUCCUUGGCUACAAGGACCAAUAACAAGGGUGAUGCCAGAGCAGAUAGGCGGUUUCUGAGCAGGUGCCCCUGCAGAAGGUAUCUUUUGUGUAAGGUUGCAAUGACCUCUGUACAAGGUUGUGUUUUUUUGCAGGGUCUUCUGGACAGUUUUUGUUAUCAAGCAUUUAUGCAUAAUAACCCUCUCCUUAUGGUCUUCUCCGGGUUUAUUUGUCAGUGUGGACCCCGUUUUGAUUCUGACAACUGCUGAUGAGGAAACUGAAACUGAGAGAGGUUAAGACCUCUGCCCCAGAUUACCCAGGUGGUAGUUCAAUGUUGGAAAAUGCUCUUACAUGGGCUGUGAGUACUGGCUCCCGGCUCCUGGUUGGAUGGAUGGAACAGAGCCUUCCUGGAGGCAGGGACUGGCCUGCGGGGCCUUCAAGGUCUCUUCUCACUAUAAAUGGGAAUUCAUAGCUGCAGAGGUGGGCAGAACCCAACGGGGGACGGCGCUGCCGUCUGGUGAUGUGAGUUCACCUCAACCCGUAGCUGUCCCUUUAACAUCUGGCGGCAUGAAAAUCAAGGCCAAGGCCAAACAUGUGGGAAGAGCCUCAGCCUCAUUCAUAAUUAAAGAAAUGCAAAUUACAACCACAAAAUAAGAUUUUUCACCCAUCCAACUGGGAAAACAGCAAAGCCUUUUUGGGAACAGGUGCAGUGGAAACAUGAAUAAUAUCUUUAGAUCCUUGCUACUCAAAGCAGGGUUUAAAGACCAGCAGCAUCAGCCUCACCCAGGGCUUGAAAAAAUACAGAUUCCCAGGCACCAGUCAGGACCUGCUGGUUGGAAACUGGAGGUGGGGCCCAGGGAUAUGCAUUCUAACAAGCCCUCCAGGUAAUUCUGAUAUAGCCUGAAGUUCGAGAACCACUGCUUUAGAGGAUAUUUUGACCCAGAAAUUUCACUCCUUUCUUUUUCCUAUUACAUUUUCUGAUUGGUUAUUGCUGGAUUGUGGGAAAACAAUUCGUUCUGUUUAUGUUGAGCUUCUAUCUGGUCAUCUUGCUGAAUUUUCCUACUAGUUCUAAUAAUUUGUCAGUUGAGUCUACUGAAUAUUCUACGUAGAAGAUUCUAUUGCCGGCUGGGCACGGUGGCUCAAGCCUGUAAUCCCAGCACUUUGGGAAGCCGAGGCAGGUGGAUCAUGAGGUCACGAGUUCAAGACCAACCUGGACAAGUGAAACCCUGUCUUUACUAAAAAUACAAAAAUUAGCUGGACGUAGUGGACCAGAGCCUGUAAUCUCAGCUACUCAGGAAGCUGAGGCAGAGAAUUGCUUGAACCCGGAAGGUGGAGGUUGCAGUGAGCAGAGAUCAUGCCACCGCACUCCAGCUUGGGUGAUAGAGCGAGACUCCAUCUCAAAAAAAAAAAAAAAAAAAAAAAAAAGAGAUUCUAUUGUCUGCAAAUAAUGACAAGUAAUAAGAUUUGUCUUGUCCUUUCUAAUAUGUGUAUCUCUUAUUUCUAUUUCUCAUUUUCUCUUCCAUUUGUUAGGACUUGCAGAGCACUAAUAAAAUCUGUUGUGGCUUUUGGGCAUAUUUGGAUAUGAGUUUGUAUUAGUCCGUUCUCUCCCUGCUGUAAAGAAAUACCUGAGACUGGGUAAUUUAUAGAGUUUUAAUUGGCUUACGGUUCUGCAGGCUAUAUAGGAAGCAUAAUGCUGGCAUCCGCUUGCCUUCUGCAGGGGCCUCAGGAAACUUACACUAAUGGCAGAAGGGGAAGGACAAGCAGGCACGUCUUACCUGGCCAGAGCGGGAUCAAGAGAGAGACAGGGUCUAGGGGAGGCGGGGCGGUUUACACACUUUUAAAACAACCAGAUCUCACAAGAACUCACUACCGCAAUGACAGCACCAGGGGGUGGUACUAAACCAGGAGAAACCACCCCUGUGAUCCAAUCACCUCCCACCAGGACCCACCUCCAACACUGGGGAUUACAAUUCAACAUGCAAUUUGGGUGGGGGCGCAGAUCCAAACCAUACCAGGCUCCAAAGAUGCCUGUGCGGGAAUGUUUACUGCAGCAGCAUCUGUAAAGAGUAGAACACUGUAAAAUGCCCCCAAAACACCCAUCAGCAUGGGGCUGGUUGGACGAACCAGGGCCAGGCCAGGCGCAGCGGCUUAUGUCUACAAUCCCAGCAAUUUGGGAGGCCAAGGUGGGCAGAUUGUCUGAGAUCAAGAGUUUGAGACCAGCCUGGUCAACAUGGCAAAACUUCAUCUCUACUAAAAAUACAAAAAAAAAAAAAAAAAUUAACCAGGCA
Long non-coding RNA from Symphalangus syndactylus (siamang), 4073 nucleotides. RefSeq lists it as uncharacterized. NCBI's taxonomy places the organism in Eukaryota, Metazoa, Chordata, Mammalia, Primates, Hylobatidae. The record is from RefSeq and is a predicted model, not a curated record.